AUUGAACGCUGGCGGCAGGCCUAACACAUGCGAGUCGAACGGUAACAGAAAGCAGCUUGCUGCUUUGCUGACGAGUGGCGGACGGGUGAGUAAUGUCUGGGAAACUGCCUGAUGGAGGGGGAUAACUACUGGAAACGGUAGCUAAUACCGCAUAACGUCGCAAGACCAAAGAGGGGGACCUUCGGGCCUCUUGCCAUCGGAUGUGCCCAGAUGGGAUUAGCUAGUAGGUGGGGUAACGGCUCACCUAGGCGACGAUCCCUAGCUGGUCUGAGAGGAUGACCAGCCACACUGGAACUGAGACACGGUCCAGACUCCUACGGGAGGCAGCAGUGGGGAAUAUUGCACAAAGGGCGCAAGCCUGAUGCAGCCAUGCCGCGUGUAUGAAGAAGGCCUUCGGGUUGUAAAGUACUUUCAGCGGGGAGGAAGGGAGUAAAGUUAAUACCUUUGCUCAUUGACGUUACCCGCAGAAGAAGCACCGGCUAACUCCGUG
This 490-nucleotide ribosomal RNA is filed under the name uncultured bacterium. Its description in RNAcentral is "partial 16S ribosomal RNA". It matches the Rfam family "Bacterial small subunit ribosomal RNA", at positions 30 to 507 of the family's 1533-position model. The record is from RNAcentral.